Molecule: long non-coding RNA, 683 nt
Organism: Rana temporaria (common frog)
Lineage: Eukaryota; Metazoa; Chordata; Amphibia; Anura; Ranidae
Exons: 3
Source: RefSeq, a predicted model, not a curated record
CCAUCAAGCAGCACGCCAGCUGUCAGUUACUACUUUCUUUCAGCUAUACAGAGCAACCAACUAGCGUCUAACCCAGUUAUUGACACAUUUUGGUCAUGGACUUUUCCUGUGAUAUUAACCACAAGGAGUUGCGCAGCAAUCUGUAGAUGAAGUGCAUGAAUCCUUGGAAGCGGCAAUAAUGUGACCCAGGAAUGAAUAAAAAUGAAAUAGUAGCCUGGCUGUACAAUGGUUGGCGUGCUGGAUUUUUCUCUACAUUUGGCUGUACAAUGUGACCAAGGUUUUACCCAUUUACUUGAUGUAGCACAGAUGAAGAUGGUACGUGGGUGUGUCGAUUUCAUGGAUACCAGACCAGCAAUGUAUCCAGAUCCUACAAGAUUAUCUUUUCUAUACAGACAUCCACUUAGUAAUAUGAAUACCAUCAAUCAACCAAUUGCAAAAUUGGCCUGGAUUCUGGUUUCUGCACUUUAUUGUACCAGGCUGAGUGUUGAAGACACAGAAUAGCCAAUAUAGAAUAAUGCAACAUAAAGUCUUCUAGCUUUACCUUCUCUUGUAAACAUGAUCAGAGGGCAUUAAAGAUCCAGGAAUAAUGGGUGAAGCCCAAUACCUCUGCAAUUAUUUAGAUUUCUUCUUUACCAAUGUACAUUUAUAUUUAAUAAAAAAGAACCCGUCAGUAUUAAAAUAGA